GACGAACGCUGGCGGCGUGCUUAACACAUGCAAGUCGAACGAUGAAGAAGAGACACGCGAACUUCGGUUCAACUUUCACUUCGGAUUAGUGGCAGACGGGUGAGUAACGCGUGAGCAACCUACCUCUUACAAAGGGAUAGCCUCGGGAAACCGUGAUUAAUACCAUAUGACACAUUCAUAAGGCAUCUUAAGAAUGUUAAAGCUACGGCGGUAAGAGAUGGGCUCGCGUCCCAUUAGCUAGUUGGUGAGGUAACGGCCCACCAAGGCGACGAUGGGUAACCGGCCUGAGAGGGUGAACGGUCACAUUGGAACUGAGACACGGUCCAAACUCCUACGGGAAGCAGCAGUGGGGAAUAUUGCACAAUGGAGGGAACUCUGAUGCAGCGACGCCGCGUGGGCGAUGAAGGAAUUCGUUUCGUAAAGCUCUGUUCUAUGGGAAGAAAAGGACUGUACCAUAGGAGAAAGCCCCGGCUAAAUACGUG
Molecule: ribosomal RNA, 482 nt
Filed under: uncultured bacterium
Lineage: Bacteria
Description: partial 16S ribosomal RNA
Rfam family: Bacterial small subunit ribosomal RNA
Source: RNAcentral